Long non-coding RNA from Bubalus bubalis (water buffalo), 871 nucleotides. RefSeq lists it as uncharacterized. The record is from RefSeq and is a predicted model, not a curated record. Lineage: Eukaryota; Metazoa; Chordata; Mammalia; Artiodactyla; Bovidae. The transcript has 4 exons.
CUGGAGAGCUGGUUGAAGUUGUGUUUUCUCAAACCCACCCCGCACCUCCCCCAGAGGAUCAGCUUUAGUUGGUCUGGAUGAAUCUACGUUUAUAACAAGCUCCCAGAGAUCCCGAGACACCCUGGGGAAGAGAUGGUGGCUGAGGAGCAGAAGAGAGGUGGAAGUCCAUUCCGGAGGAUGACCCUUCCUAACCUUGGUCCCAGAGUGAGCUCACUCAAACUCAGUCCCGAAAAAGAUGAGAAAACUGGGACACCAACAGGAAAAGUAACCUGCUGAUCGCAAAGAACUUGUUUUGGUGUUGGGAUUAUAUUGGACUCAUGAAGCAAGAACUGUUGUCUCUUUUUGGAAUCUCUUAAAGAGUUUAUGUUUGGUUGAUACUUUUUUCUUCUUUAAAUAUUUGGAAGAAUUUCCCAGUCAGGUUGUCUUCUUCAUGGAGUUUUCUUUACAAGAAGAAUUCAGUUUCUUUUAAUAGAUGAAAAGCCUUGAGAUGGUUCAAUUACUUCUUAUGUCAUUUGUGAUGUUAAACACAUGGGUUUCAGAUGUGAAUUUUGCUUUGACAUAGAAUAAUCUUCAGGCAUUAUGAUUAGAACAAGAACUUCUCCAUAUUUCCACGUAAUAAAGUGGGAGCACUGUAAAACUCUCAAGCCAUUUGAACUUCUUCUGCGCAAUGAAAUGAGUGAAGUGCUGUGGGUAUAGAGAUCAGCAGUUGAUUUCAAAAUUGAUUUGAUACUAUCAUGACUACUUAAUUCCGAUUCUGUUAUUUCUGCUACUACAUUUUAUAUUCUUUAUAAAUUUUUAUGCAGAAAAAGAAUGAAAACCUUUAACCAAGCAUUCUUAAACUUCUCUGUGUCUAAUAAUAAUAAACUACUUG